AGCGGGAUGAGCUCAAGCUUAAAAUCUCUGUGCCAGUUUGGCAUGGCGAAUUGUAGUCUAUGGAGGCGCUGUCAGUGCGAUUGUUCGGGGUAAGUUCCUUGGAAGAGGACAGCAUCGAGGGUGAUACUCCCGUAUGUACCUGUUCAGUUGCGCGUACGACACGUUUUCUUCGAGUCGCGUUGUUUGGGAAUGCAGCGCAAAGUAGGUGGUAAAUUCCAUCUAAAGCUAAAUAUUGGUGCGAGACCGAUAGCGAACAAGUACCGUGAGGGAAAGAUGAAAAGAACUUUGAAAAGAGAGUUAAAGAGUACCUGAAACUGCUGAAAGGGAACCGAAUCGUUUCCAGUGUCUAUAAUCCAUGGUAUAUUUCAUUGGCGCGUGAGUGCGUGCAGCGUUUUGGAAGCGGUCUCCGCUCCUGUCGUUGUUGUGCAUUUGCUUGCUGGUGCCCUGUGCUGUGGUGGGACGUCAGAGUCAGUUUGUAUGUUGCGGGAAAUGGUUAUUGGGGAGGUAGGUCACUUCGGUGGCUGUUAUAUCCUGAUAAUUAGUCGUCGUGGCUGAGACUGAGGUGCCUACAACGUGCUCUCGAGUCUGCGGGCUUCUCGUGUGGCUGUUUGCUUUGAUAGCUUGCUAUGUUGGUGAAUAAGUCGUGCGAUUGAGACCUGUAGUAACUUGUUGCCGUUC
Molecule: ribosomal RNA, 678 nt
Filed under: Pythium sp. WM_5
Lineage: Eukaryota; Oomycota; Peronosporomycetes; Pythiales; Pythiaceae
Description: eukaryotic LSU rRNA
Rfam family: Eukaryotic large subunit ribosomal RNA
Source: RNAcentral